GAAGAGAGAGAAAGAGAGGAAGAACAAAGGGAAAAACAAGAAAAUCUAGGUGGAAAAUUCAAAGAAAAAGUGAAGAAAUCAAGGAAACAAGCUGGGUAAGUUAGAAUUUCUUUAGUUCUCCUUGAUACCUAGCUUACCCAUGCUUUUGUUCUUGAUUUUCAUGGUUGAAUAUUGAGUUAUUAUGAUGAAUUCAAUUCUGAAAAAUGGGUUAGAAGAGAGAAAGUUGUUAGAUUAAUUUGAUUUUAAGUUAUGUUAGUGUUUUAAGUUAGUUUAGCAUAUUUAGAAACAAAACAACAAGAAAAGAAUUUAUUUUCUCUCACAACCAUUAAUGGCCGAAUUUAUCAUGUGUUGAGUGAGGAUGAAUUUGAUUUUCAUUUUAGGAGAAUUGGUUAAGAAAUGAUGAAUUAUGAGCCUAGAAAAAUAAUGGGAAUUUUCAGAGCAAAAAUAUGAAUUUUUACCCACUAAGGGUAUUUUCGUAAUUUGCUACCGAGACUAAUAAAUUGAAUCUCAUUCACAGUUAUUAAGGUAAUUUAGGUAUAAUUGGAGUGUAGAAAGUGAGAAGAAUUGAUUUAGAGUUAAAUUGGAGAUAAUAGGCCGAAUUAGGUCAACACCGCAUUUAAGCAGUAGUCGGAUAAGUUGCAUAUCAUAUCAUGCAUAUAUACCGAGCCUGAAUUGAUUUUAUAAUGGUCAAGCAUUGAUGUGGUGAAUUAUGUAUUGUACAUUGUGGAUAGGUGGUGAGCAAAGUACACUGGCAAAAAAACAGAAAUUGUGCUUGAAGACUGGGAUUAGGAGUACAUCGACUCCUAGAACUGUGAGUGAACUUAUUACCAUCUUAAUUAUCUAGAGUAGUUUUAUACAAUUGAGUGAUUUUAUGAAAAAUGGGUUUAAAUGGUAAAUUGCUAUGUUUUAAGAGAAAUUGUGAUUUUAUAAAAUGAUUUUAUAAAUUUUCUGAAAAAUCGAAUACUGGUUUUGAAAAUAGAGUAAUUGGAGACUGCCUGCUUGUGUUGUAAAUUUAUGGUUUUAAAUUGAAUGGCUUAUGACAAUAUAUGAGCAUGAAUGGCUAAACUGAUUUUGGUGUUAGAAUUAUUUGUACUGUGUAUUUAGCCUUGAAAGGCUAGGUUGCGAUAAAUUGCCAUGUCAUGCAGAAAAAGAUUUUAUAAAUCAGGUGGUAGAUAAAAGAUUAGCUACUGCAGUGGUGGGGGGUUCCGUGGGCCAGCCUAUUAGAGGGGCACUGUAAACUCCUUUAUAUUCUCACCUCGGUCGUAGAGGCGCGUAGGGUAUCUCCUGAGGUGGGCUUUUUGAGUGCACUUCACGUGGACCACCGCGUGAGAGUGAGACUCAGCCAACGCCAAGGAACGGCUAUGUUUCAAAAUAAAAAUAUGAUUUAUGCGAAAUAUGAAUUUUAACAGCCUUGGCGGACUCGGUUGGAUACCCCUAAUCCAGGUGUCCCCGAGUAUAGGAUUUGGCAUGAGCCAAGUUUUGAGAAAUUCACGAGCCAUAUUGAUUAUUUUGUUGAAAUGAAUAUUCGUGUUGUGAAAAUUUUACUAAAAUGAAUUGUUUUUAAUUGUCUCCCUUUACUCGACUUUGGAUAGUUUAGAUGGUAUCUGUUUACUCACUAAGAUUUUAUAAUCUCACCACCCUCAUUUCCUCACAUUUCAGGCUUGGGGAAUUCCAUAGUUAGCUGACUUUGACAAGGACCUUCAUUUGGACU
RNAcentral lists this long non-coding RNA (1711 nucleotides) under Theobroma cacao (cacao). RNAcentral's name for it is "long non-coding RNA (TCAC_LNC004526)". Lineage: Eukaryota; Viridiplantae; Streptophyta; Magnoliopsida; Malvales; Malvaceae. The record is from RNAcentral.